GCAGCCGCAACGGCGGGCCGCCGUCCCUCGAGAUCGUCCAUGGAGGUCCGACCCGGCUACAGCCAUGGACUGAGACGCCCGAAUCCCUAGCUACCCGUGGAGGUCCGACGCCUCAACCUCCAAGGAAAGGACGCGCGCCGGCUGCAGGCCAUCUCCGGCGACCUCCGACCAUGGUUGCUCGGAUCUGGACCAGCUGCUGCUCCAACUGCUUCAGGUGGACGAGGACGAGCCCUCCCUCAUUGCUGCUGCGGCUGCCUACUCCCUCCUCCUACCCCCUGGCCUGGUGUGAGUGGUGGAGUUAAUGAGCCGGGAUGAAGUUCGAGAAGUUGCAUUACACCGUGUAAAUAUUAAUGAGCUGUGGAAGACAAGUGCACCAGUAAGUGUUUGAAAUUCUAAGUGUGUUGGUGGAGGUGGAAGGGGGGAUUGUGAGUUGGAUAUGUCAUUAACAGAGGUGGUGAAUUUGGAUUGGUCAUGCAGAUAUAGUUGUUAGAGAAAUAAGAAGAUGAUGUAGAGUGAUUUAUGGGUAAGUAAUAUAGCGAAUAGAUUUGCACGGGAAGUCAAGUAUAUGCCGAGACUCGAGCAGGUUCAUUGUUAUUGUUGUUCUUGCGUGUCAAAGCUUUUGGCUAGAUCUGUAGGUAUAC
Molecule: long non-coding RNA, 641 nt
Organism: Aegilops tauschii subsp. strangulata
Lineage: Eukaryota; Viridiplantae; Streptophyta; Magnoliopsida; Poales; Poaceae
Source: RefSeq, a predicted model, not a curated record